AUGAGUGAAAGUUGAAUGCAAGUGCAACUCUUGAAUUAUUACAUUCCAAUUUAUGGAUAUCAAUAUGUCUCACCCACCCCUAUGUGUCUUAGCAAGGACAAUGAACAAUCUUCAAUUGUACUCCACCACAAGUGGAGCAUAACAAUGAAGAAUCAGAAUCCAUACCCUCCUUACCAUCACUCAUUAACUUCAUAUAUAUAUAUUAUUCUCAUUACACCAUACUGUAGCCUAAAUCCACACAUCAAAGUAAAAUUAAGCCGCUUUUUUCUCUUCUUUUGCUAGAACCGAUUCCUUUAUUUUCGCGUUGUCUUAACCUUAGUGCUCAUUGCCGCGGUCCUUAAUGUGGAAGCCGCCACCCGCUGGUUUUCUUGUGAUAGCAAGAUGGACUCCAGGAUCAUGAAGAGUGCAGGAUGAAUCGUGCAUAAUCGAGCUGUUAACACCUUGCACAUUACUGUUGAUAAAUGCACUCAUUGGAGGAUACGCCAUUGUCCUUCCUUUGUGGCCAUUGUCCAUCUUUGGUUUCCCUUCUCCGCUGCUGCUGCUGCUGCUAUAGCUUCCCCACUGAUUGCCCUCGAACACGUGUUUCUUAUUAGGAGAGCGGAUUGCUUCCAUGAAGGCGCCUUUGUUUUCUCCAGCAAUUGUGAUUACCCUCAUGCCCCCAUGUUCAGAAAUCUUCUUUCGCUGACCUUUUUCCUUUGUUUCUCCGUCUUUUGACGGUUCUUGCUUCCCAUGUUGUGAAAUGCUGGUCUUGACAGCAUCUACAAGAUUUCUCCCUGAAUCGCCGCCAUUGAGCCAGGGCUUAGGCUUAUCAAUGGUUUUUUGAACUAGCACUGUUUUUUGCUCUGCUUCUAAUGGGAUCUUAUCUUCACUUCCUGCAUCAGCUCUUAUCUUGGCAGGUGGUAGGAUCAGAGGAGAAGGUGGUGGAGCAGUGGGCUUAGGCGUAGGUGAUUGAGGUGGGCUUUGAACCGAAGGCUUGAUGGUUCUUGGAGAUGGUUCAGGGAUAGGAACACGAGCCGUAGUGGUGGUCAUGGCAGUUGGCACCGAAGAGGUGAUUGGUGCUGUUUUAGGGGCAGGAGGAGUUGGUACUGGCUUAGAAGCUGGAGACGUUGGGACAGAAGAAGAUGGAGCUGGUUUAGGGGAGGGAGAAGAUGGGAGCGAGGAGGUAGGAGCUGAAACUCUGGGUCUUGGAGAUGAUGGCACCGAAGCAGAGGUAGUGACUGGAGCAACCACUGUGGUGGUUGGAGCCGGAGAAGUGGGCAAUGAAGCGGAAGGGGCAGACGGCCUCGGAGCUGGAGAUGUUGGUACUGAUGCCACGCCUCCACCUGGUACGGAAGCAACGGCAGGCGGUGGUAUGGCAGGAGUGGGUCCUUGAGGUUGAGUUGCUGGAGGGGCAGGCUGAGCAACUGGCCUAAAUGCAGGUCGAGCGAGAGGCGGACGAGGCUGGGGAGGAGCUGGCUCAGGUGUUGAAGUUGCAGCAGGUUCAGGGGCUGGGCGGACAAGUGAAGGCAAACGGAACCAUGGACGAGAUGGGGGAGGUUGAUUUGCCAUUUUUUGUUAUUUUGUAGAGAGGUUUUCUGAUUUAAACUUGACUAAAUGAGAAACAUGGGAAUGAGUACAGAUAGAGAUGGGUAAUGUGUGUGUUUAUUUAUAGCUUCAGCACUUGACUAUGUAGC
Molecule: unclassified non-coding RNA, 1673 nt
Filed under: Hevea brasiliensis (rubber tree)
Lineage: Eukaryota; Viridiplantae; Streptophyta; Magnoliopsida; Malpighiales; Euphorbiaceae
Source: RNAcentral